Long non-coding RNA from Mustela lutreola (European mink), 4828 nucleotides. RefSeq lists it as uncharacterized. The record is from RefSeq and is a predicted model, not a curated record. The transcript is spliced from 7 exons. NCBI's taxonomy places the organism in Eukaryota, Metazoa, Chordata, Mammalia, Carnivora, Mustelidae.
GGACUGCAGCCGCCCAGGCGGGGGGCGGGGAAUGAGUCUCUGGGGGCUUGAGGGGAGUGGGCAAUGUUAAGUGGCUGGCCCCUAGCAGGUGCCUGGAGGAGAGCCUAGUGCAGGAAGUAGCCCCCUGGGGGGAGAAGCCGGUGGGCCGGGAAAGGACAAAUGGAAAACGGAAUUAGGGGCCAGGCUCUGAGGCACGGUGAUGGGGAGACAUAGAAGGAGGGGCAGUCUGGUUGGGGGAAGAAAUUGGGGCUGGAGAGUGGGAGAGGUUGAAGUGAGUUAUGGAUCACACAGGAAUAGGGGCUGUGUAUUUGCGUGAGGGCAUGGGGGGGGUGGUUCUGUGGAGUGGAGGGGGGGGAGAUGCAGCAGGGUCAGGAAGAGACUGUGGGGUGGGAAGAAAGCCUGCUGAGUGGAAAGGGGAAAAGGGAAAUUUGAGAUCAAGCCAUCCCAGACCAGAGUCAUCUUCCUUGUCCAGCUCUGAACUCCCUCUCUCUGCCUCAUUUCUUUAACCCCGGGUCAGAGCAUGCUGUUCCCUUUGCUCAUGAUUGCUCCUUUCCUGGUGCAGCGGAGUUCACACUAGCCAGUGUUCUGGUAGAUGGAAAGGUUGCCCCACCUCUCCUGGGCUUCUCUCAUCUUAGCCGGGUUCCCCCCUUCUUCACGUUUUGUCCUUCCUAGGUAGUUGGAGUCUAGCUCCUAGGUAAUGCCAGCCAUAGCUGAGGGCCAGGGGAGCAGGUGGCUGUGCAGAGCCACUUCCAGCCUGUGGACAAAGGGCUGAGACACGGAAAAUCUACCAGUGCCCAUUCCGGCUUAGGCCUGGCUGGGGCAGCCUUGGGUCAAGUCCUCUCUGUAGUCCCGGUUUCUACCAACAUCAGGAAGGGGAGCCGCAAGAACCAUCUAGGCAGGCGCCCGGGGACUGUGUCAGGAUGGAGAGUUCAAUCCCCACCUCUGAAGAUGGGACUUAGCAACACCCUUCCGAAGAACAGAGAAAGGGAAAAGUACAACUUUCAACGAAGAUCAACCUGGCAAACACGGCCUUAACCAGCGCUGAAGGUUAACAUCAGGGACAGGGUGUCACCAGGACAUCGUGGAUAGCACAUGCCCCUCAUGUAACGUGGGAGGGCCAUUUCACCUCUGUAGCAUACUUUCUGAAAGCCCAUAACCCCGGAGUGGGGGAGAGUCUGUAGGAUACUUGACCAAUACACUGCAUGACUGUCAAAAUCAUGGAAAACAAGGACCAAAAGCUAUGACCUGAGGUAACUGGGGAGACAUGCCCACUGAGUGCAAUGUGAUAUGUGGACCAGGUCCUGGAACAGAAAGAGGACAUAAAUGGAAAAGCUGGUGACAUCUAAAUCAAGCGUGGAGUAGGUUAACAGUCAUGUGCCAAUGUCAGCGUCUUCAUUUUGACAAAGGAAGACCUGGGUUUAAGCCCUGCCUCCAUCAAUCUCAAGAUGCGGGACCUCAGGGAAGGGAGGAGAGGUACCACCAAGGAUAUGCAUGGAAGCCGCCAUCACCUGAGUUCUUCAUCUGUAAGCCAGAAGCCAAGCCAGCCUGCGAAAGAAGCGUCUCUCAGCCAGCAUCCCUGACAAGGACACGCCUGCUCCAUGGGGAAGUCUUAGGUACUAUACGCUUGGCCUUCACCACAAAAGCCCUGCCGCCCAGAAAAAUAAACAAUGUUGAGGAAGUAAUGAAGGGAAUCUCUACUCUGAACUUAAAUCUGAUUUAAGAGAAACAGAAGUAAAAUGGAAUUCCUGAGAAUUUGGGGGAAGAAUCAAUGCCAUCUUGUAGCUCAUCAAUCAUCAGGCAGUGAGACUUGCAUCCGAAACCUUUGGAAGGUAGCUUUCGGGAAGUACAGAAAACAAGGUUAUUAUUUCAGAGAAAUAAACUGUGUGAGAAGCCAACGGGCAGCUCUAGACAAAAUCGUAUAGGGAAGAUCCUGAAAUAUGACAGACACUGAUCCUUGGCAAAUCCGAGAACUCAUGAGCAAACAGCACACUACAAUUCCUGAAGGAAACAGUGACGGUAAGGAAUAAGUACAGGGCUGCCAAAGCGGAGUCAAGCUGUGUCUUGGGGUUUUGCGUAGGGGUUUCACAUGAAUGUCAAGGGGAAGGUACAGACUGUGGUCUUUAUUUCAACAAAGCAUCUAAGUGAAAUCUUCAUAAUAUUCUUAAAAGAACAUGAAGGGAAAAAACUGCAGGCAGGAUGGUCUCAUUUGGGGGCUAAGCCCAACGUGCCUCCCCCUAAAAGGGCUGAGCUCUGUGCAUCUUGAGGGAUCUACUGCUGCCAGGGUAGCCAGGGCGUCUCAGACUGCGGGGGGGCAUCCCAGGGCGAGGGUCUGCAGCUUCUCCUUGGAGCCGCGUGCUUUUUCUGCCAGAAUGUUUUCUUCUUGUGUUAUCACCAUGAUGGGCAUCUUUUAAAAACAAACAUCCGCUGGGUGACUGCUCUUUACCAAGCUUUGCGUGUUUUGGGGCCGGGGUGUGUGUGUUUGUGUGUGUGUGUGUGUGUGUUUACAACUGUACUGGUGCCAAGUGGCACCACUGACUGCGUGGGCUAAUUAAGACAACUUAAUUCUGCAUGUUUAACUCAUGCUAUAUUUGUGCAAAGUGAGGGAAGAUGGCUCUCAAGAAGCGUGGCAGGAGUGUGCCGCUUGGCACAGGACACUGCAGGGUAGGCGUGCGAGAAACUCAAGCAGCCUGAGUGUCAAGUCGGCAGCGCUGAUGCUGACAACAGUGAUCUGGAUUCAUUCAAUUGUCAUCUGCCCAGAAUGGGGCUGUUGCUGGGACUUUUCCUGGUUUCUCUGGUUGUGCUUUAAUUUUAUAGGAGCUGGGUCAAUGAGCUGAUAAACAGAUUUGCAUGCAUAAUUAAGUAAAGUUGCAGCAUUAUAAUGGAAACGAUCUAAGUUGACUCAUAAAUAGUUUUUCUUUAGAGCCAUGGCGUUCCAACCAUUUAGACCACGAACCACAGUUACAAAAACAGUUUACGUGAGGACCCAGUGUGCGCACACCCACACACUUCCCUGUCCUGGGCUCACACGAGAAUGGAAAAUGUGGCUUUAGAGUAGCCGAUCCACUACCCAAGCUUGGAAAACCAGGCGAAGACCAAGCAAAGUUCAACUCGCAGAUGUCACAGAACAGAGAAGGAUGAUAAUAAGAACACUGGCUGUCGGUAUGAGGGUUCAGAGAGAUCUUUAAAAACUAGUAGGUGCAGUGCUUUGGAGCACAAAGCUGUAGACCUAAAUGAGAGUUGGGGCCAUGCCGUCAUCUGUGGAGUGGCUGGGGCCCCCCUCUCAGGCUGUGCCAUCUACAGGACAGAGGGAACAGCACCCUCCUGGGAUCCUGGCAGGCGUCAAUAAUUACUACAGAGGCAGCGAGCACACAGUGGUAAUCACUAAAUAGUGGUUUAAACUUUGAAGUUGAGUACAUCCUGCACUUGGGGUAAAAAAAAAAAACAAACCUCGCAUACAUAUAGGACGAAACAACAGAGCUUAAUAGUGGUUCUGUGAAAAAGCCCCAGUGGGUUUGACUCAAAGCUAAACGCGAGACAAGAGAAUCUAGAUGUGGCUGCCAAAACUCUACUGCAAUUUUGGGAUUGCAUUCCCAGAAAGUUCAAUCAUGGAGGAAUAAAAAAAAUCGUCCUAGUGUGUUCUGCACAUUUGGGUCACAUCUGGAGUGUCAGGUUUCGUUCUGAGGGAUAUUUUGAAAGGGGCAUUUUCAAUUGGAGCUUGUUCAGAGGACAGCAGCAAUGGUCUGCCAGGACUAGUGAGACCCACCAGGGCAUUCAUCCCAUCCCUGGUUCAAAGACUUCGUGAAGGGUGGAGACGUCAAGAAGGCAGACUCUGAGGUGCCUGGCUGGCCCAGCAGAUAGUGGGUGUGACUUCUGAUCUCGGGGUUGUGAGUCUGAGCCCCAUGUUGGAUGCAGAGUCUGCUUUAAAAAGGCAGACUGCAGACUAACAGAAGGGAGAACUUUGAAAAAAUGUCAUCAGUUGCCUUUUGAGGUCAUGUUCCGUUUAGACAGAGGCAGGAUGUGUGUCUCUGCUGGAGAUGGGAGGUCUAGAUAGGGUGGGAAGCAGAGUUAGAUGAUCUUUAAGAUUAUUUUUUAAUUCUCAGACCAUGUUGCUGUUAAAAGCACAAGCUGAGUUAGUUGCGGCUAAGUCUGGGAAGGGAAGCCAGGGGCUCUCCCAGGAGGCGCCCCUGGACUCAGGUUCCCUUAGCUAAAAUGGGGGACUGACCCUCCCGCAGAUACCUUCCGCUAAGGAAACGGGCACAGAGCAGGGUGCAAUGAAAUGAGAACAGGCCUCGUGGUUCUUACUCAACUCCCUUUCCCAUCUUCCUCUCUCCCCCUAUAGGCGUCCUUACCCUGGAUUCAAAACAGUUUGGAGAUGGGGCUGGGAUCAGAGCAAUUCUUCAGUUAGGAAGUUACAGCAUAAUUUACUGAAGCAAGCGGCCAGAACUGCUGGGGCUGACAUUGUACCUUUUCUGUUUGGUUUCAUUUUCCUCCCCAGCCGGCUCCUGAAAUAACCCUCUAGCUCUCAAACCAAUGUUUAAUUAUAUCCGGGGAUUAACCAUGAAAGGGAAAAAAGCAGCAUUUCCAGUUGGGUGUUUGAAAAUGAAAAGUGGUUCAGAAGGAGCGUAGAUACGUAACUGCAAGACUGUGAUCAAAGGCACUUUGAACCUCAUUAAUUUGGAACUUUGUAUUUAAACGUGUAAUUUGGACAUAAAUUGUGCUUAAAUUUGUCUUUGUACUAUUCACAGUGAGGCUAACUAGUGUAUGAAAACUGCAAAGGGACCCCUGGGCAUCAUCACGCAAUUGUUUUAUGCCACUUCUACCAUUUUAA